CCUCGGGACUGUAUCCUCUCAUCUAUUUUCAAUGUAAUGACUAUUGCUUCCUCCACAGGUCCGAAUUCAGUACUGAAGAAUCUGCUCAGAGUUUAGAAGGAACCGCAUGUCCUGGGAUGUCGCCACGUCUGUUGGUCUUUGCUUUCUAUUCAACACCAAAGAAUUGCAUCAUGGUGUAUCAACGCAGUCUUGUGCAUGAAGAAGAAGUGACUUGCAGAGCAAAGAAACAAAAUACCAAUUAGCCACAGUGGUAUUAUUAAGCACUUGAAAAGUAAGUAACAGAGGCUACCUGAAGAGCCUUGUAAUUGCCCUUAGCUGCAGCGCUGUGCACUGGUGUGAGACCUAGUUUGUUCCCCUGGAAAACUCUGGCACCAUUCUUCAGCAGGAGCCACACAAUCCUGCACAAAGACAGAAGACAACUAAGGACACUUGGAAAUAGCGAGAACAACCAUCUUACAGUUUAGCUGUUAAUGAACCAGAAUUUUGAAGAAGAGCACCUUGGCUCCUGUGUGCUUGAGCUACUACUGAGGCACCAGUGAAGUGCCGUGUUUCCUUCGGGGUCGGUUUCAUUGACAUCAACAUCCCCCAUCAGAAGCAUCUUCGUGACAUUCAUAUCUCCGGCCUGCACAAGGAAUCAAUCAUCGCAAGUUUUUCUAAUGUACAAGAUGCAGCUUGUUAGGCUUGGCACGAUUACAGCAAUAUUGCAUCAACUGAACAUAAGAAAAUGCACAGCUGCUUCUAGAUGAUGCGUAAACACAAAGCGUGUAGCUCAUAAUCAUAGUAACUCAUUUCAUGUAUUAUUUUAGGAGUCUUUCCUAAAAUAAGGUGUGGACCUCACUGGUUACUCACUUAACUUCAUGGCAGUCGUAGCAACUAA
Molecule: long non-coding RNA, 877 nt
Organism: Hordeum vulgare subsp. vulgare (domesticated barley)
Lineage: Eukaryota; Viridiplantae; Streptophyta; Magnoliopsida; Poales; Poaceae
Exons: 3
Source: RefSeq, a predicted model, not a curated record